Molecule: ribosomal RNA, 1500 nt
Filed under: Microbacterium arborescens
Lineage: Bacteria; Bacillati; Actinomycetota; Actinomycetes; Micrococcales; Microbacteriaceae
Also listed under: 2 other names
Description: bacterial SSU rRNA
Rfam family: Bacterial small subunit ribosomal RNA
Source: RNAcentral
AGAGUUUGAUCCUGGCUCAGGAUGAACGCUGGCGGCGUGCUUAACACAUGCAAGUCGAACGGUGAAGCAGAGCUUGCUCUGUGGAUCAGUGGCGAACGGGUGAGUAACACGUGAGCAAUCUGCCCCUGACUCUGGGAUAAGCGCUGGAAACGGCGUCUAAUACCGGAUACGAGCUGCGACCGCAUGGUCAGUAGCUGGAAAGAAUUUCGGUCAGGGAUGAGCUCGCGGCCUAUCAGCUUGUUGGUGAGGUAAUGGCUCACCAAGGCGUCGACGGGUAGCCGGCCUGAGAGGGUGACCGGCCACACUGGGACUGAGACACGGCCCAGACUCCUACGGGAGGCAGCAGUGGGGAAUAUUGCACAAUGGGCGAAAGCCUGAUGCAGCAACGCCGCGUGAGGGAUGACGGCCUUCGGGUUGUAAACCUCUUUUAGCAGGGAAGAAGCGAAAGUGACGGUACCUGCAGAAAAAGCGCCGGCUAACUACGUGCCAGCAGCCGCGGUAAUACGUAGGGCGCAAGCGUUAUCCGGAAUUAUUGGGCGUAAAGAGCUCGUAGGCGGUCUGUCGCGUCUGCUGUGAAAACCCGAGGCUCAACCUCGGGCCUGCAGUGGGUACGGGCAGACUAGAGUGCGGUAGGGGAGAUUGGAAUUCCUGGUGUAGCGGUGGAAUGCGCAGAUAUCAGGAGGAACACCGAUGGCGAAGGCAGAUCUCUGGGCCGUAACUGACGCUGAGGAGCGAAAGGGUGGGGAGCAAACAGGCUUAGAUACCCUGGUAGUCCACCCCGUAAACGUUGGGAACUAGUUGUGGGGUCCAUUCCACGGAUUCCGUGACGCAGCUAACGCAUUAAGUUCCCCGCCUGGGGAGUACGGCCGCAAGGCUAAAACUCAAAGGAAUUGACGGGGACCCGCACAAGCGGCGGAGCAUGCGGAUUAAUUCGAUGCAACGCGAAGAACCUUACCAAGGCUUGACAUAUAGAGGAAACGUCUGGAAACAGUCGCCCCGCAAGGUCUCUAUACAGGUGGUGCAUGGUUGUCGUCAGCUCGUGUCGUGAGAUGUUGGGUUAAGUCCCGCAACGAGCGCAACCCUCGUUCUAUGUUGCCAGCACGUAAUGGUGGGAACUCAUGGGAUACUGCCGGGGUCAACUCGGAGGAAGGUGGGGAUGACGUCAAAUCAUCAUGCCCCUUAUGUCUUGGGCUUCACGCAUGCUACAAUGGCCGGUACAAAGGGCUGCAAUACCGUGAGGUGGAGCGAAUCCCAAAAAGCCGGUCCCAGUUCGGAUUGAGGUCUGCAACUCGACCUCAUGAAGUCGGAGUCGCUAGUAAUCGCAGAUCAGCAACGCUGCGGUGAAUACGUUCCCGGGUCUUGUACACACCGCCCGUCAAGUCAUGAAAGUCGGUAACACCUGAAGCCGGUGGCCCAACCCUUGUGGAGGGAGCCGUCGAAGGUGGGAUCGGUAAUUAGGACUAAGUCGUAACAAGGUAGCCGUACCGGAAGGUGCGGCUG